GAAAGCUAGGGGAGCAAAUGGGAUUAGAGACCCCAGUAGUCCUAGCCGUAAACGAUGGAUACUAGGUGCUGUGCGACUCGACCUGUGCAGUGCUGUAGCUAACGCGUUAAGUAUCCUGCC
This 120-nucleotide ribosomal RNA is filed under the name Triticum aestivum (bread wheat). RNAcentral describes it as "rRNA SSU_rRNA_eukarya". It matches the Rfam family "Bacterial small subunit ribosomal RNA", at positions 755 to 873 of the family's 1533-position model. The record is from RNAcentral. Lineage: Eukaryota; Viridiplantae; Streptophyta; Magnoliopsida; Poales; Poaceae.